GUCGUUUAAAGCAAUAAAAGUCAAGUAUUUUCUUACUUUUUUCUGGGGACUUACUUAUUCUAUAGGAUAAGUGAUGGCGAGAUAAGAAACAUUGUGCAAGCAGAGCUUGGUGUUGCUUGGUUAAGGAUUGCUGCCACGGAAUUUUUGUCACGCAAGCUAAAUAAAGAAUGCAAGCACAGAAUAUUAUGUACUGUGAACUACAAUGCUGCUAGGCGGGGAACGUAUUCAAAACAUGCUGUAGAGGUUGGAUCAUUGUUUCUUAUCAGCCAUCUGCCUUACAAUAUGUCUGCUAAAAAACAGCUGAUUUCAGCUGCAAGGGAUGGAAGGCUAUCAGCUUUAUAUU
Molecule: long non-coding RNA, 343 nt
Organism: Eurytemora carolleeae
Lineage: Eukaryota; Metazoa; Arthropoda; Copepoda; Calanoida; Temoridae
Exons: 4
Source: RefSeq, a predicted model, not a curated record